UGACGAUUAUUGGAGGUGAUGGUAGUAGAGGAUGAAGGGGUAGAGGAUCGCAAGGUGGGUGGUCCAGAUCCAAAUCAAGGGACUAUAGUAAAAUUUGGUGUUACAGGUGUGAUGAGUUAGAGCAUCGAGUCAGAGAUUGUCCACAGUUCAAAGAUUGGAUGAAGGCUGCUGCGACGGCAGUCCAAGGUAGCAAUACAAAAGCAAGUGAUGAUGUUCUUCUGAUGUCUAAUGAGAUAUCUACUUCUUCUUCACAGUGAAUUUUAGAUUCUAUAUUUUUAUAUCAUGUUUGUUGUAGAAAUGAGUUGUUUGACUCCCUAGAGAGUAAU
This 326-nucleotide long non-coding RNA is filed under the name Elaeis guineensis (African oil palm). Its description in RNAcentral is "long non-coding RNA (EGUI_LNC000030)". Lineage: Eukaryota; Viridiplantae; Streptophyta; Magnoliopsida; Arecales; Arecaceae. The record is from RNAcentral.